Mycena latifolia is the source of this 92-nucleotide non-coding RNA. The record is from the annotation of a GenBank genome assembly. Lineage: Eukaryota; Fungi; Basidiomycota; Agaricomycetes; Agaricales; Mycenaceae.
GCACCAGUGGUGUAUGGAAUACACACCGAUCUGAUGGGCAGUAUUUAUUCGCUACUUGGUGGUGAGACGGGGUUCGAAUCCCCGCUGGUGCA